UAGGGAAUCUUCGGCAAUGGACGAAAGUCUGACCGAGCAACGCCGCGUGAGUGAAGAAGGUUUUCGGAUCGUAAAACUCUGUUGUUAGAGAAGAACAAGGACGUUAGUAACUGAACGUCCCCUGACGGUAUCUAACCAGAAAGCCACGGCUAACUACGUGCCAGCAGCCGCGGUAAUACGUAGGUGGCAAGCGUUGUCCGGAAUUAUUGGGCGUAAAGCGAGCGCAGGCGGUUUCUUAAGUCUGAUGUGGAAGCCCCCGGCUCAACCGGGGAGGGUCAUUGGAAACUAGGAGACUUGAGUGCAGAAGAGGAGGGUGGAAUUCCAUGUGUAGCGGUGAAAUGCGUAGAUAUGUGGUGGAACGCCAGUGGCGAAGGCGGCUCUCUGGUCUGUAACUGACGCUGAGGCUCGAAAGCGUGGGGAGCAAACAGG
This 429-nucleotide ribosomal RNA is filed under the name Gemmatimonadota bacterium. RNAcentral describes it as "Gemmatimonadetes bacterium partial 16S ribosomal RNA". It matches the Rfam family "Bacterial small subunit ribosomal RNA", at positions 355 to 776 of the family's 1533-position model. Lineage: Bacteria; Pseudomonadati; Gemmatimonadota. The record is from RNAcentral.